RNAcentral lists this ribosomal RNA (580 nucleotides) under uncultured soil bacterium. RNAcentral describes it as "bacterial SSU rRNA". It matches the Rfam family "Bacterial small subunit ribosomal RNA", at positions 337 to 917 of the family's 1533-position model. The record is from RNAcentral.
UCCUACGGGAGGCAGCAGUAAGGAAUAUUGGUCAAUGGACGCAAGUCUGAACCAGCCAUGCCGCGUGGAGGAUUAAGGCCCUCUGGGUUGUAAACUCCUUUUAUCUGGGAAGAAAUGUUUCGAUUCUUCGAAGCUUGACGGUACCAGAGGAAUAAGCACCGGCUAACUCCGUGCCAGCAGCCGCGGUAAUACGGAGGGUGCAAGCGUUAUCCGGAUUCACUGGGUUUAAAGGGUGCGUAGGCGGACAGGUAAGUCAGUGGUGAAAUCUCCGAGCUUAACUCGGAAACUGCCGUUGAUACUAUUUGUCUUGAAUACUGUGGAGGUAAGCGGAAUAUGUCAUGUAGCGGUGAAAUGCUUAGAUAUGACAUAGAACACCAAUUGCGAAGGCAGCUUACUACACAGCGAUUGACGCUGAGGCACGAAAGCGUGGGGAUCAAGCAGGAUUAGAUACCCUGGUAGUCCACGCCCUAAACGAUGAUUACUCGACAUACGCGAUACACUGUGUGUGUCUGAGCGAAAGCAUUAAGUAAUCCACCUGGGAAGUACGUUCGCGAGAAUGAAACUCAAAUGAAUUGACGGA